GCGCCUGUAGUUCAAUGGUAGAACCAUAGCCUUCCAAGCUAUUAGUGUCGGUUCGAUUCCGAUCAGGCGCU
Molecule: transfer RNA, 71 nt
Filed under: Simkaniaceae bacterium
Lineage: Bacteria; Pseudomonadati; Chlamydiota; Chlamydiia; Parachlamydiales; Simkaniaceae
Description: tRNA-Gly
Rfam family: tRNA
About the family: Transfer RNA (tRNA) molecules are approximately 80 nucleotides in length.
Source: RNAcentral